Molecule: ribosomal RNA, 483 nt
Filed under: uncultured bacterium
Lineage: Bacteria
Description: partial 16S ribosomal RNA
Rfam family: Bacterial small subunit ribosomal RNA
Source: RNAcentral
AUUGAACGCUGGCGGCAGGCCUAACACAUGCAAGUCGAGCGGAUGAAGGGAGCUUGCUCCUGGAUUCAGCGGCGGACGGGUGAGUAAUGCCUAGGAAUCUGCCUGGUAGUGGGGGAUAACGUCCGGAAACGGGCGCUAAUACCGCAUACGUCCUGAGGGAGAAAGUGGGGAUCUUCGGACCUCACGCCAUCAGAUGAGCCUAGGUCGGAUUAGCUAGUUGGUGGGGUAAAGGCCUACCAAGGCGACGAUCCGUAACUGGUCUGAGAGGAUGAUCAGUCACACUGGAACUGAGACACGGUCCAGACUCCUACGGGAGGCAGCAGUGGGGAAUAUUGGACAAUGGGCGAAAGCCUGAUCCAGCCAUGCCGCGUGUGUGAAGAAGGUCUUCGGAUUGUAAAGCACUUUAAGUUGGGAGGAAGGGCAGUAAGUUAAUACCUUGCUGUUUUGACGUUACCAACAGAAUAAGCACCGGCUAACUUCGUG